Molecule: ribosomal RNA, 253 nt
Filed under: uncultured bacterium
Lineage: Bacteria
Description: partial 16S ribosomal RNA
Rfam family: Bacterial small subunit ribosomal RNA
Source: RNAcentral
UACGGAGGGAGCUAGCGUUGUUCGGAAUUACUGGGCGUAAAGCGUACGUAGGUGGCACUUCAAGUCUGCUGUCAAAGACCGGGGCUUAACCCUGGAGAGGCAGUGGAAACUGAAGCGCUAGAGUGUCGUAGGGGUAGAGGGAAUUCCUGGUGUAGCGGUGAAAUGCGUAGAGAUCAGGAAGAACAUCGGUGGCGAAAGCGCUCUACUGGACGACAACUGACACUCAGGGACGAAAGCUAGGGGAGCGAAUGGG